RNAcentral lists this long non-coding RNA (494 nucleotides) under Brachypodium distachyon (stiff brome). RNAcentral describes it as "long non-coding RNA (BDIS_LNC005524)". Lineage: Eukaryota; Viridiplantae; Streptophyta; Magnoliopsida; Poales; Poaceae. The record is from RNAcentral.
CUUGGGCACCUCCCGGGAUGUAACAUCCCAAAAUUUCAAACCUUUACAUGUGCAUUGCAUCCAUGAGCAUCAUGACACAAUUGCAUGUUUGAAUUCAAAUUUUGAAUCACAAAAGGCUUUAAGAGAUUUUGUUUACAUCCCUGUAACCUUUGGAUUUUGAAACCAAUAGGGUUGAUGUAUAAAAAGGGUUUAAUGCAUAUGUAAGCUAGCCCAUAAUUUUUGGUUAACUAAUUGGAGUUGAAAAAGUAUUUUAUUCAAACAGAUAUAUAGCCCUAAAGUCAUUUAUAGGGCAAAUGUAUUUUUAUAUAUUUUAUUUUGAAGAGAAACUACUUCCAAAAGUUGUAUCAUGGUAGAACAUGAUUUUACAAAUUUUCUGGAAUUUAUUUGGACCAAUUUGGAGUUCAAACACAAAAGAUAUCAAAGAAAUGAGAAAAACAGAAAAAGAGAAGGCCUAAAAGAAAAAAAAAAGGGGGUAAACCGGACCGGCCCGGCCA